AAGCGAUCCUGUGAUCUCUGCCUUCCAAGUAGCUGGGGCUACAGGUGAGCACCACCAUGCCUGGCUUGUUUAUGUAUUCCUUUCAUGGCAAUGGAUAAUUAAAAAAAAAUUCGUUUGUAGAGACAAGAUAUCUUUAUGUUGCCCAGACUUGUCUCGAAUUUCUGGCCUCAAGCGAUCCUUUUGCCUUGGUUUUCUGAAGUGCUGGGAUGACAACGGAACAACUUUUAAAUGUCUCCCCCUUGGGUACCUACUCACUCUUCAGACCCAUAGGCAUCAUAUGAACUUUCUGGCCACACAUGUAUAAUUAAAAUGAACAUUUUCUGUAAUUUUAGCAGAUAGAAAAAGGAAGAGAAUGAAAGAAGGAAAAAGUUAAUAUAUGGCCCCUUAUGUGGCUUUUUCAGAUUAAACUGUUUGCAAAGUUCUGAAUAAGUCAAUGGGCAAAAUGGGGCUUAGAGUACUUAAGUCAUGUAGUUUAACUCAGAUGAAAGAUGGAUGUAAAUGUGGAGAAAGAGUACAGCUGUGUUAAAUUGAGAGCUAUGUGUUAGGCCAAAUUAUCCAGUAAUUCCUUGACUUCAUGAAAGAUACGUUCAGGGUCUUAUUGCUCUCUGGGACCAAAAGUGGGUUGCUUGCCUUCUAAUGUCUUAAUUCCUUAUUUGGCCCCUUAUAAUGUUGGGACAAUGAUUAAGUGCCUGGACUUUGGAAUUAAGCCUGGAUUGAAACGUGGACUCCAUUACUCACUAACUUUGAGGCUUUCAUUCUCUCUGAGCUUUGGUCUUCUCAUUUAUAAUACAAGAAUAGUAAAACCUUUGUAGAGUUAGAGUGAAAUAAACUGAAUUUAUGUAUGUUCUAAUUGUGCUUAGCACAUACAUUCAAUAAAUGGCAGUGGCUAGAAAAUAUCUUCCACUGUGUAUGUAAUAUGGUCAACAUGUAUCCCUAUUCCCUUCUUUUCUGAACGGGGAGAGUAGUGCAAUAAGUAACAUCCAGUAGUAAGGGGACUUUGUUUCCCUGGAAGUGUGCAAAAACUACUUGCCAUUUUGGAUUGCUCUUCCAGUUCCAGCUUUAUAGAUGUAAGCUACCAUGUCUUCUCUAGUAAUGGAAUUUGAACACUGUCAUUUCAAUAUUUGUUUCUCUGAAGAGAAAUUCCCUUUUUUUUUUGAGAUUUAUCUAAAUGAAGGAACUCAAACUUACCAGCAAUAAAAUCUCUCUAACUGCAACUUAACUGUUUUUGUUUUUCAGCUAUGUAUUUUUUCAUUUUUAAUUUAUUUUCAUUUUAUAAACAUUGAGGUCAUGAGAAUACUGGAGUUAUUAAAUAAGAGAUGGCAAUUAUUCAUUUAUUUAUUUGCUCAGAAAGUAGAAAGUUUCAUGAAACUUUAAAGCCUGGGAAUUUCUAAAGAUAACUCCAUCUCCAUAUGUUUUUUGGAGGAAAUGAUUUUUGUCUUUUCCAAACAAUGACACUUAACACAAUAGAAAGUUGGCACAUUUUUGGUAAACAGAAUUUUCCUGGUAGUGUGAAGUCUACUGUGUAUUUCUUUUGUGCCAGACUUCUCAGUAUCAUUUUGAUCUGUAAAACACCAACAUUUCCUGUAUCAUAUUAUAUUUAUAUCUUUGGAGAGUCUAGACAGAAAGAAAUUUUUAUUUUAAACAGUAAUGAAUAAUAAAAAACCACAAAAUCUUUAUUGUAAUAUUUGGGACUAUGAUUGGCUGCAGGGAAAAAAAGCACAAAGCAGAUGACACAUAGAAGACAUAUAACAUAAAUGUUUGACUUUGAUAUCCCCAGAAGGUAUAUCUCAGACAUUAAAAAAAGACAGGAGGCUAAAAAUUGUAGCACACAAACAAAAAUCAUUUCUCUAAUUUUUGAAUUAUGUGUCCAAAGAAAAAAAUUAAAACUUCAACCACCCAUUGGUGUGAGAAUUGUUAAAAAAAAAAAAAAAAUCUAGCUUUCCACAGAUCCAUUUGGCUCUCCUGUAAAGACUGAAAUCUGAGAAUGUUAACAACAGGUUAUCUCUGAGGACAAUUAUUGCACCUGAGAAGGAAAGAAGAAGAUAUGCUUUAUUCCAUUGCAGACACUGAAUGGAGAACUCUGAGCAUCAUAGGUAAACCAACUCUGUAUCACUUUGAAAUACAUAUUUGAGGCUGCUGCAUGCAGCUCCCCCAAUAGCCGCAGUCAUUGGUGCCAAUGCUCAGGCGCCCGCUGCCCUUGACCUCCGGCCCCCAAGCCCUAACCCAGCACAGGAGGACCAGCCACCGCCGCCAGGCUCUGAUGCUGGUCUCUGGUAGAAGAAGGUUGCUCACAGCUCUGCUGCAGGCUCAGAAGUGGCCCUUUCAACCCUCCAGAGACAUGAGACUAGUGCAGUUCCAGGCACCCCACCUGGUGGGGCCUCACUUUGACCUGGAGACGGGGAAUGGUGGAGGGGUUAUCAACCGCAAUGCCUUUGACUCUAUGCUCCCCAAGAUGAUGACACAGUUCCUAGAGCAGGGAGAGGCCACCCUCUCAGUGGCAAGAAGAGCCUUGGGUACCCAGUUGCCAGUCCUAUCACGGUUGGAAGUAACCUUCCUGGCUCCAGCCACGUGGCCAGAUAAGGUGCUUUGUGUGGGCAUGAAUUAUGUGGACCACUGCAAAGAACAGAACAUGCCUGUGCCCAUGGAACCCAUUAUCUUCAGCAAGUUUGCCAACUCCAUCGUGGAGCCCUAUGAUGAGAUGGUCCUCCCACCGGAGAGCCAGGACGUAGACUGGGAAGUGGAGUGGCCGUGGUCACUGGAAAGAAAGGCAAGCAUAUCAAGGCCACAGAUGCCAUGGCCCAUGUGGCUGGCUUCACUAUGGCUAAUGACGUGAGUGCUCAUGACUGGCAAAUGAGACAUAAGGGGAAACAGUGGCUGCUGGGAAAAACCUUCGACACCUUCUGCCCUCUGGGCCCUGCCUUGGUGACCAAGGCCAGUGUAGCAGAUCCACACAACUUAAAGAUCUGCUGCCAAGUGAAUGGGGAAGUGGUCCAGAGCAGCAACACCAACUAGAUGGUGGUUAAGACAGGGGAGCUGAUAGCCUGGGUCUCCCAGUUUGUCACCUUUUACCCAGGGGAUGUCAUCCUGACUGGGACCUCCCCAGGUGUCACUGUAUUCAGGAAACCUCCUGUCCUUCUCAAGAAGGGCGAUAAAGUCCAGUGUGAGACUGACGAACUAGGUGUCGUCAUCAGCUAGGUGAUGUGA
Non-coding RNA from Chlorocebus sabaeus (green monkey), 3204 nucleotides. The record is from RefSeq and is a predicted model, not a curated record. Lineage: Eukaryota; Metazoa; Chordata; Mammalia; Primates; Cercopithecidae.